RNAcentral lists this ribosomal RNA (253 nucleotides) under uncultured bacterium. Its description in RNAcentral is "partial 16S ribosomal RNA". It matches the Rfam family "Bacterial small subunit ribosomal RNA", at positions 524 to 776 of the family's 1533-position model. The record is from RNAcentral.
UACGUAGGUGGCAAGCGUUGUCCGGAUUUAUUGGGUUUAAAGGGUGCGUAGGCGGUCUUAUAAGUCAGUGGUGAAAUCCGGCAGCUCAACUGUCGAGGUGCCAUUGAUACUGUAGGACUUGAGUACAGACGAGGUAGGCGGAAUUGACGGUGUAGCGGUGAAAUGCUUAGAUAUCGUCAAGAACACCGAUAGCGAAGGCAGCUUACUAGGCUGUAACUGACGCUGAGGCACGAAAGUGUGGGGAGCAAACAGG